GGACACGUGUAAUCCUGUCUGAAGAUGGGGGGACCAUCCUCCAAGGCUAAAUACUCGUGAUCGACCGAUAGUGAACCAGUACCGUGAGGGAAAGGCGAAAAGAACCCCGGGAGGGGAGUGAAAUAGAUCCUGAAACCGCAUGCAUACAAACAGUGGGAGCCUCGCAAGGGGUGACUGCGUACCUUUUGUAUAAUGGGUCAGCGACUUACGUUCAGUUGCGAGCUUAACCGAAUAGGGGAGCGUAGCGAAAGCGAGUCUGAACAGGGCGUUCAGUAGCUGGGCGUAGACCCGAAACCGGAUGAUCUAUCCAUGGCCAGGUUGAAGGUGCGGUAACACGCACUGGAGGACCGAACCCACUAGUGUUGCAAAACUAGGGGAUGAGCUGUGGAUAGGGGUGAAAGGCUAAACAAAUCCGGAGAUAGCUGGUUCU
RNAcentral lists this ribosomal RNA (430 nucleotides) under uncultured bacterium. RNAcentral describes it as "bacterial LSU rRNA". It matches the Rfam family "Bacterial large subunit ribosomal RNA", at positions 420 to 856 of the family's 2925-position model. The record is from RNAcentral.